RNAcentral lists this long non-coding RNA (270 nucleotides) under Manihot esculenta (cassava). Its description in RNAcentral is "long non-coding RNA (MESC_LNC005669)". The record is from RNAcentral. Lineage: Eukaryota; Viridiplantae; Streptophyta; Magnoliopsida; Malpighiales; Euphorbiaceae.
AGAAUUGGGAGUCUUUCAUUGAGGCCAUGCAAUUGAUAAAAAUGACAGUCCAAAUAGAGAGGCUCAAUAAAAGAAUCAGAACUGGAACUGCAUCUCAGGUGAGUAGCCAAGUGCCUCAAGGUGAGCAGCCAUGGCCUUGUUCAUAGGUGGUGGUCCACAUCUCAGUAUCUGCAGACCAUGCCAUCGUAAAUAUUAGCAUACCCAUAUGCCAACGACAAAAUAAAUGGGAGGGUUUGACAAUGUGUUCCUAGUUUUGAGGGCAUAUUCAGA